UUGGAUUUCAACUAGCUGGUUGGAGAGCUUCAGGGGUAAAAUGGGAUAGCUGUUGGUUCUUCGAUGUCUACAUCUGGAGGCUUCGACUGUUUUACACAGCCAUACUUCACCGACUUCAGUUUUGGCUUCCAUUCUUCACCUAACCAUUGCUUCACUUCCUUCAUCCCCCUCUACAGCAGCUCCGGUUCCAUCUUCCUCCAACCACCAACCACCGGCUACGGCGACCACUCCUCCUCCUUUCUCUCUCUCCCUUGCUCGCGCUCUCGCCUUUUCUCUCAACACCCACAGUGCUCUGCCUCAGUUUGUUUGCUUUGGCUGUUUUCCGUUCCGGGUUGAGGUGAUUUUAUCAUUAAGAUGCCAAUGUUGACUGCUCCAAGUACAAUUGUUAGCUCGCCUCUAUUGCCAGCAGGUGCUCACUUUCCGACUCACUUGGGUUCUAUCAGGAAGAGGAUUGAAUCUCACAGAUUAGCUCAGCUGCACCCAGAAAACUGUCUGAGAAGAUAAUAUGCAGAGCAGGGGACUUGCAAUCUACUGAGAAGAUAAUUUUUUAUUAUUAUAUUAGUUUGUUUUUUAUUGUGUGCAGUGGUUAAAGAAGACUAGGAGGAAAGCGUUAAUUGCUUCUCAAGUCUGUAGAGAGAUAUCUCACAUAAUGAUGAAAAAGAUAUGUUUGUCUUUAGUCGAAUGAAAAAGAUAUUAACCGGUGACAAUAAAA
Molecule: long non-coding RNA, 712 nt
Organism: Prunus mume (Japanese apricot)
Lineage: Eukaryota; Viridiplantae; Streptophyta; Magnoliopsida; Rosales; Rosaceae
Source: RefSeq, a predicted model, not a curated record